Acanthosepion pharaonis is the source of this 113-nucleotide non-coding RNA. Lineage: Eukaryota; Metazoa; Mollusca; Cephalopoda; Sepiida; Sepiidae. The record is from the annotation of a GenBank genome assembly.
UAUGGUCAUAUCACAUUUAAAUACCAGUUCUCAUAUAAUCACCCAAGUUAAGCAACAUCAAGCCUGGUCAGUAUCUAGAUGGCUGACCAUUUGGGAAUUCCAGGUGUUGUAAG